Molecule: non-coding RNA, 128 nt
Organism: Caenorhabditis elegans
Lineage: Eukaryota; Metazoa; Nematoda; Chromadorea; Rhabditida; Rhabditidae
Source: Ensembl
AAAUUUCUCACUUUUACUUUCGAAUAAAAAGGUUUGAUAACGAUGAGUAAGAGCGGUGAACAGGCCAAAAAAGUAUUGGAAGAGAUGGAAAAAGAAGACGGUUAUUUGUGUUUGUUCAGGUGUAGGUG